ACCUCUCCUCAAAAGCCAGGGUCCUUGGUGAGCAGAAUAAAUAAAUGGUGAGAAAGACCAGAGGAAAAUAUAAUUUACCUAGCGAUACCUCCAUUUUCUACAAUAGUUAAGAAAUAUUAUUUGCUUUUUCUCAGUUCAUUUCCAAACUAAUUCUCACACCCUUGGAAUGCUCUAAUACCAAUACUGCCACUUGCGAAGAGUAUGUCAUUCGGGCUCCUCUAUACGGCAUUAAGAUGAGGCUUCCUCAGUAAAUAAUAUAUGUGGAAGCUUCUCUGAGCUAGAACAAGCAUACCUCUUUUGUGCAUAGCAACUCCCAUGACCUAGAAGUGCUUCCUGCAGUUAUGUUCCUAAGCUGAAUAUUUCACAUGCUUUGGAGCUGAGAGCCAAGAGCCCCGUCUCUUGCAUGGUUGUUUUUAUUUUUAUUUUUUUUCUUAACACAGUCUUGAAAUCUUCAUUAUCUCCAAAUAUUCUAUCCAUGUUUGCUACUAAAUGUACAUGUAGUAGUGCUAUUGCCCAAUAUGAUUUCUGAAUGGAUUAAUGAUAAAAUCCAUUUUAUAUUUCCAUGUACACAACUCACAGGAUUCUUAAAGUAUCUCAAUCGUAGCAUACCAAUAGGUAAAGAAAUCACUUUGCUAUGAAUCAUAUCUGAAGGACUGUGAUCCCAUAUAGGAACAUGUAAAUAAUCAAGGGUUUAGGUAAAUGAUAUAAAUACAUUUGCACAAGCCUGAAUGCAUAAACUUCAUACAUGCAAAGAUAGAAAAAUAUAAGUGUUACAUGAGUUAUUUGCAAUUAUGUCUUAAAACACUCAGGGUAUUUCUGAGUGUUCAAGUUAAUGAAGUUCUUGAAAAUAUGGAUUAAUUUAAAUAUACUAAAAUUAUGUAUUACAUAUAUGUAUGUGUGUGUGUAUGCGUGUACACAUGCGCUAUAUAUGGCUAAUAACUGGCAAAAAACAUGGCUACCCUAGUGGCUUUUGUCUUUAUAUAAUAGUCACUCCAAUAAUGACUAGUAUACAUUUUAAAAACACAUUCACAGGAUAGAGAUCAUAUCUUAGACUGCUUUUGUAUCCCGCUUAAUGCCUGGCAGAAUGUUCUGCACAACACAGUAAGCAUACAGUCUUGAAUGAAAGCUAGAAAUAUUCAUUGUAGACUAUGUAUCUGUUCUUCCCAAGUCUAUAUUUUCUUUCCAGGUAUAUAUAUGGUUAACCAUCA
Molecule: long non-coding RNA, 1208 nt
Filed under: Macaca fascicularis (crab-eating macaque)
Lineage: Eukaryota; Metazoa; Chordata; Mammalia; Primates; Cercopithecidae
Description: lncRNA (ENSMFAG00000048440.1)
Source: RNAcentral